CCCUUGAGUAUUAUACUUUUGUUGCUUUGGCGGGCCGCCUAGGCUGCCGGCUUCGGCUGGUGAGUGCCCGCCAGAGGACCCAAAACUCUGAAUUUAGUGUUGUCCGAGUACUAUAUAAUAGCUAAAACUUUCAACAACGGAUCUCUUGGUUCUGGCAUCGAUGAAGAACGCAGCGAAAUGCGAUAAGUAAUGUGAAUUGCAGAAUUCAGUGAAUCAUCGAAUCUUUGAACGCACAUUGCGCCCCUUGGUAUUCCGGGGGGCAUGCCUGUUCGAGCGUCAUCAAAACCCUCAAGCUCAGCUUGGUGUUGGGGCCUACCUCUUGGUAGCCCUUAAAAUCAGUGGCGGUGCCAUCUAGCUCUAAGCGUAGUAAUUCUUCUCGCUACAGGGUCCUGGUGGAUACUUGCCAACAACCCCUAAUAUUCUAUGGUUUGACCUCGGAUCAGGUAGGGAUACCCGCUGAACUUAAGCAUAUCAAUAA
RNAcentral lists this ribosomal RNA (478 nucleotides) under Ascomycota sp. GPO_CO_03_B12. RNAcentral's name for it is "eukaryotic LSU rRNA". The stretch from base 126 to 279 matches the Rfam family "5.8S ribosomal RNA". Lineage: Eukaryota; Fungi; Ascomycota. The record is from RNAcentral.